Molecule: ribosomal RNA, 90 nt
Filed under: Bacillus pumilus
Lineage: Bacteria; Bacillati; Bacillota; Bacilli; Caryophanales; Bacillaceae
Also listed under: 1 other name
Source: RNAcentral
UCUGGUGAUGAUGGCGAAGAGGUCACACCCGUUCCCAUACCGAACACGGAAGUUAAGCUCUUCAGCGCCGAUGGUAGUUGGGGGUCUCCC